CCCAUGCACGAGGACAGAUAUGGCGUUUGAGAUGUCAGAUAUGCCUGUUCAGCUGUGACGGACCAUAAGGACAUUCUAGAAUGUCUGGGAAUAGUGACGUUAAGCCUGAUCUGGCCAGCGAUUCUGACUGAAGUGACUGAGGACCAUCUGCAGUCUUUCUUCUGUGAUAUGAGCUAAAGGAGCUUCAUCCCACUCAGGUCCUGAGAGAUGGUGGUUUCAGGGGAUAUGAAUGACUUCACAGCCGCCACAGUUCUGUCUAUUAUGGUGUGAGAGUACCGAGAGACUGAAUCACAGACGCAGACCCUGCAGGCCACUGAAUCAUCCUCUGUUUAAAACAUAGACGCUCAUCAGUGUCCAAGCUGUCUUCUGGAAGCUUAAGUUUGUCUUCAGCUAUGGCAAACAAAUGUCAAGAGCAGCCAUGAGCAACACACAACCCCCUCAGGAGCAGCACUGUUGAUGUUUAAGAGUGGGAAGUACCCAUUUGAAACCACUGUCCAUUAAGUGUGUUGGGAACAGGUCCUCCUUUCUGUGUGGGUGGUCUGCAAAGCUUCACUGGAAAAAUCGCAGCAGAAGCAGCAUGUUGUAUCGGCUCGUAGCCAGAAGCCCAGAUGUGACAUUAAUUGUUUUUAAUCUGCUCAGUGAGCCAGUAGUCCCUAUUCACACUCAGUAAAUAUAGGGAUACACUUGUAAGUUAAACAAUAAAACUUCAUAUUUAAGUUCAAGUUGGAGGAAUGGGAAAUGUAAUGUUUUUGAUGUAAUUCAACCUGACAGUUACAUGACCUAUAAUGGUUUCAUGAAAAGACUGUGUGCUGUGGAUCCAAAAUGCACUUUUUUUAUGCACCAGCUCUGUCAAAGGCGAGUGAUUUAAGAACAUUUUAACAGAACUAAAUCUUAUCAACCACAAAACUACAUUUUAUGUUUAUUUAAAACAUAUGUUGUCUGAUUGACUCAUUUUAAAGCUAUACCUACAAAAAAAAAUUGGCCAUAAAAGUCACAAAUGUUUUUUUUUUUUUUUCUUCUUUUUUUUUUGUUAAUUGAGAUGAGUCUCUGAUAACAAAGUACAUCACGGAGAUGUCUAUUUGAUGUCUGGAUUUACAUCUGCAAAACGUAGUUUUCAAGUGUUUGCUCAUCUGCAAUAUAUCUAUAAGACGUUUCCUAUCAGAUGUCAAAGAGACAUUUAGAAGAUGUCUUAGAAUGUAUGUAAAACGAACAUCUUAAAGAUGUUCAUGAUGAAAGAUCAGAUUUUUACACAGCAGAUGCUUUCCAGAUGAAGCAAUCUUUAACAGACAUCUUGCAGAUAUACGUGUGCUAUCUAGGCUGAGUCUUUGAUUUUUUUUCUAUUUGAUUUGUCACAAAAGUGUCAAAAUACAUUUUGGCUGACAUCAUUUUAUUACUGUUAAGGAAUAUUUUCACACUGCAUUUAACCAUGGGUUAUCAUCAUUCUAAACUCCACCUUCAACUCCAGAUGUGUUUCACACUCAUGAUUUAGUUGCAGGAUUUGGUGUUAGAGGGUUAUGUCUAUGCUUAGGAACAGCCAACCAAUCAUAAGCCUUUCGAAGUUCAUUCAGGAGAAACAUAAUAGUCUUCUAUAUUUAUUAGGACGUGCAAUGCUUGAGCUGUUCUGUAAACAGGUCAAGUACUGCAUUUGUCCAAUCAAUGACACUGAUACUACAAACAUGUAAAAUAACAACGUCAGCAGUUUU
Carassius auratus (goldfish) is the source of this 1703-nucleotide long non-coding RNA. RefSeq lists it as uncharacterized. The record is from RefSeq and is a predicted model, not a curated record. The transcript has 4 exons. NCBI's taxonomy places the organism in Eukaryota, Metazoa, Chordata, Actinopteri, Cypriniformes, Cyprinidae.